UGCCUUACACAUGCAAGUCGAACGGGGAAAGGCUUCGGCCGAGUACUAGUGGCGCACGGGUGAGUAACGCGUGGAUAAUCUGCCUUCGAGUGGGGGAUAACUAUCCGAAAGGAUGGCUAAUACCGCAUAAGACCACAGGAUCUGAGGAUCUCGGGGUCAAAGGUUUUUCGCUUGAAGAUGAGUCCGCGUGAGAUUAGCUAGUUGGCGGGGUAAUGGCCCACCAAGGCAACGAUCUCUAGCUGGUCUGAGAGGAUGAUCAGCCACACUGGAACUGAGACACGGUCCAGACUCCUACGGGAGGCAGCAGUGGGGAAUUUUGGACAAUGGACGCAAGUCUGAUCCAGCCAUUCCGCGUGCAGGACGAAGGCCUUCGGGUUGUAAACUGC
RNAcentral lists this ribosomal RNA (386 nucleotides) under uncultured organism. RNAcentral's name for it is "bacterial SSU rRNA". It matches the Rfam family "Bacterial small subunit ribosomal RNA", at positions 45 to 433 of the family's 1533-position model. The record is from RNAcentral.